RNAcentral lists this ribosomal RNA (478 nucleotides) under uncultured bacterium. RNAcentral describes it as "partial 16S ribosomal RNA". It matches the Rfam family "Bacterial small subunit ribosomal RNA", at positions 29 to 507 of the family's 1533-position model. The record is from RNAcentral.
AUGAACGCUGGCGGCGUGCUUAACACCUGCAAGUCGAGCGAGAAGUUUUGAAAAGAUUCUUCGGAUGAAAUUUAAAAUGGAAAGCGGCGGACGGGUGAGUAACGCGUAGGCAACCUGCCCCAUACAAAGGGAUAGCAUUUGGAAACGAAUAUUAAUACCUUAUGAAACUUAACUAGUGCAUGCUAGGUAGGUCAAAGAUUUAUCGGUAUGGGAUGGGCCUGCGUCUGUUUAGCUAGUUGGUGAGGUAACGGCUCACCAAGGCGACGAUCAGUAGCCGACCUGAGAGGGUGAACGGCCACAUUGGAACUGAGACACGGUCCAAACUCCUACGGGAGGCAGCAGUGGGGAAUAUUGCACAAUGGGGGAAACCCUGAUGCAGCAACGCCGCGUGAACGAUGAAGGCCUUUGGGUCGUAAAGUUCUGUUCUAGGUGAUGAAAACUGACAGUAACCUAGGAGAAAGCCCCGGCUAACUCCGUG